GGACGGUUAGCUCAGUUGGUUAGAGCGCUACAUUGACAUUGUAGAGGCCGCAGAUUCGAGUUCUGCACCGUCCA
This 74-nucleotide transfer RNA is filed under the name Candidatus Beckwithbacteria bacterium CG_4_10_14_0_2_um_filter_47_25. RNAcentral's name for it is "tRNA-Val". It matches the Rfam family "tRNA". From Rfam's summary of the family: Transfer RNA (tRNA) molecules are approximately 80 nucleotides in length. Their secondary structure includes four short double-helical elements and three loops (D, anti-codon, and T loops). Further hydrogen bonds mediate the characteristic L-shaped molecular structure. tRNAs have two regions of fundamental functional importance: the anti-codon, which is responsible for specific mRNA codon recognition, and the 3' end, to which the tRNAs corresponding amino acid is attached (by aminoacyl-tRNA synthetases). tRNAs cope with the degeneracy of the genetic code in two manners: having more than one tRNA (with a specific anti-codon) for a particular amino acid; and 'wobble' base-pairing, i.e. permitting non-standard base-pairing at the 3rd anti-codon position. Lineage: Bacteria; Candidatus Beckwithiibacteriota. The record is from RNAcentral. RNAcentral also lists the same sequence under 3 other names.